CUCACCACUCCACUAACAGUUGUAUGAACAGGACUGAGUGGAUGGUGCCAGGCAGGAACAGGCUGCUGGUGGCAGGAGGGAGAAGGUGGUGUGGCUGUGGGGAGCCCCUUCAGCCAUGAAGAGAGGUGCCCAGGUUAAGUGUUGAGUUUCAAGGGAGAAUUUGGACUCUCUCCUUCACAGGGCUGCCCUGCGCUGCCUCCCUGCAAAGCCAUGAAGAGGGGAGGCUGUGACAACCUCCCGAGGGUACCUACAGCAGGUGGUAUGAGCAGAGACUUUGGCUUGUGCUGUCUGAGGAUUCUGGUAGAUGUUUCGGAGAAGGGAACGUUCUGCUGCAUUCUGGUGGAGGGUUGUCAGAGGGGGAAGAGCCAGGAUGCUGAAGCCCAGCACCCCAAACUGUUGUGACUGCUUGGGAUUGAUGACAUCUAGAAUGAUACAUGUUGGAUCAUCAGAACAGAGUGGGAGCAGCACAGCUUGGUUUCAGGAGCCAAAAAUAGGCUGUGGUUUGCUUACCUUCUGCUGCAGUGUCACCCCACCCACCCCGGGCCCACGAAAUACUCCAAAUGGGGAAUUUGUCCACACUGAUCUCUUAUCUGAGUUCAGUUAGCCUUUCAACACUGCAAAUAAGCUAUUCAGUAUUACUUCCUAGCAUGACCUGGCAGCGUGAGAAGUAGUGGCUCACUGCGGAUACUGCGAUGACAACCCCAGAAGACCAGAUGAGUGCUACCUGAUAUCUGCACGCCCAGGUGCUGCAGCAUGAC
Molecule: long non-coding RNA, 758 nt
Organism: Aquila chrysaetos chrysaetos
Lineage: Eukaryota; Metazoa; Chordata; Aves; Accipitriformes; Accipitridae
Exons: 6
Source: RefSeq, a predicted model, not a curated record